AUGAAGUACCUGUGGGUCUUUUUCUUUAUUGUGGCAGCUCCUAGAAGUGUCCUGUCACAGAUACAACUUCAGGAGUCAGGUCCAGGAUUGGUGAAGCCCUCUGAGGCUCUAUCAGUCACCUGCAAAGUCUCUGGAUUCUCUUUAAGCAGCUAUGGUGCAGGGUGGGUCCGUCAAGCUCCAGGAAAAGGACUGGAAUGGUUUAGUAUAGUAUGGGGUGGUGGAAGUACUAACUACAAUCCAACAUUGCCAUCUCGAGUCAGCAUCACCAAGGACAAUUCCAAGAGUGAAGUUUACUUAAAAUUGAGUUCCUUGACUGACAAAGACACGGCUACAUAUUAUUGUGCAAGACACACACAGUAG
Molecule: non-coding RNA, 360 nt
Organism: Elephantulus edwardii (Cape elephant shrew)
Lineage: Eukaryota; Metazoa; Chordata; Mammalia; Macroscelidea; Macroscelididae
Source: the annotation of a RefSeq genome assembly